RNAcentral lists this transfer RNA (72 nucleotides) under Ovis aries (sheep). It matches the Rfam family "tRNA". Rfam says of the family: Transfer RNA (tRNA) molecules are approximately 80 nucleotides in length. Their secondary structure includes four short double-helical elements and three loops (D, anti-codon, and T loops). Further hydrogen bonds mediate the characteristic L-shaped molecular structure. tRNAs have two regions of fundamental functional importance: the anti-codon, which is responsible for specific mRNA codon recognition, and the 3' end, to which the tRNAs corresponding amino acid is attached (by aminoacyl-tRNA synthetases). tRNAs cope with the degeneracy of the genetic code in two manners: having more than one tRNA (with a specific anti-codon) for a particular amino acid; and 'wobble' base-pairing, i.e. permitting non-standard base-pairing at the 3rd anti-codon position. Lineage: Eukaryota; Metazoa; Chordata; Mammalia; Artiodactyla; Bovidae. The record is from Rfam by way of RNAcentral.
UCCUCGGUGGCUCAGAGGUUAAAGCGUCUGCCUCCAGUGCAGGAGACCCGAGUUCGAUCCCUGGGUCGGGAA